GCAUGGUGGAGGGAGGUGUCAUUUAUCAGGGUCCUCUUUUAGAGGUACAUGAUUUGUGAAGGAGUGGCUGCUGAAAAAAAGGAGUAUGGACAAACCUGCAAAUAAGUACUGCUCGUAUUUCUCCUCUGAUUUCUUCUGUUGCGUUACUUGGGAGUCACCACCAACUUCUGUAUCUUCAUAUGGCAAAAGCAGAAUCUCGAUGUUAAUGGACCACUUACUGACUCAAAAGCUACAAUGAUUCUGGCUGCUACUUGGCUGUCCUGUAAAGACAUACACAAGGAAACAUACAUACAUUUUUUUUUUCCCACUGAAAAUAUGUGAAGGUUGUUCCCUUCCUGUUCUCUGAGUGGUGCAUGUCUGUCUGAAAGAGGAAUGAGAGAAGGUGAGAAUCUAAGUUUGCUUUUUAUUUAAUGUAAAGUCAAUUCCAUGAAUGUUGUCCUUGCCAUCUCCCAAGAGUGUCCCUAAGGGUUCACACUCCUCUUUAAAUGAGGAUAAUGUUGCCGAGGAACUUUGACAUUGCUGAUAAAUGAUUCUACAUAAGGGUGAAUCAUUGAUUUAUUGCCUGCGGUGUUAGAUUGAAAUUUGUAAGAAUGGGGUAUCUAUGGGCUUUUAUAUAGACUGUUAUUUGUAGCCAUAGUUUUCUGCCGGCCACUUCUUCUAAAAGAGAACAGCUGAUGAUGUGGAGGGAAAAGGAACUGAUAAUCUAACUUGGAAAUUCUUAAGUAGUGAGGAGCUGGAAAGUGGUG
RNAcentral lists this long non-coding RNA (746 nucleotides) under Corvus moneduloides (New Caledonian crow). Its description in RNAcentral is "lncRNA (ENSCMUG00000019285.1)". Lineage: Eukaryota; Metazoa; Chordata; Aves; Passeriformes; Corvidae. The record is from RNAcentral.